AGUUAAACCUUAGAAAGUAUUGUGUUUUGAAAGCACUAAUUAGAGGUUAAAUUCCUCUUUUAACUU
RNAcentral lists this transfer RNA (66 nucleotides) under Diploptera punctata (Pacific beetle cockroach). RNAcentral's name for it is "tRNA-Ser". It matches the Rfam family "tRNA". From Rfam's summary of the family: Transfer RNA (tRNA) molecules are approximately 80 nucleotides in length. Their secondary structure includes four short double-helical elements and three loops (D, anti-codon, and T loops). Lineage: Eukaryota; Metazoa; Arthropoda; Insecta; Blattodea; Blaberidae. The record is from RNAcentral.